GUAAUUGGGUGCUCAGUAGUCGGUGUAGAAUCUGUCUGACAUUGAUACCAACAGCUACAUCUGAUUACUGGGUCACUAAUUGCAUCA
Molecule: microRNA precursor, 87 nt
Organism: Alligator mississippiensis (American alligator)
Lineage: Eukaryota; Metazoa; Chordata; Crocodylia; Alligatoridae
Rfam family: mir-221 microRNA precursor family
Source: Rfam